CUUUUUCAUUUAAUCACCCACUGCUGCUUAGCGGUUUAACUCUUUCUUGGGAAUAGCCCUGCCUCACCAAAGGUGGGGACGGGGCUGAACUUCUGUAUUCCCCUCACUGCUCACAAGAGUGCUGAGCUCAAAGAAGAGCUCUGUAACAGAAAUACAAGCCAUUCACUGAGCUCUUCUGUGUGCCAGACAGGGGGCGGUAAGCACUUUGCAUGUAUUAUGUUAUUUAAGCCACAUAGCAGCCCUGUGCUAUAGGUGCCACUAUGAUUCUCAUUUUAUAAGUAUGGCAACUGGUAUUUUAAUUCACCGAGUGAUUUUCCCAGACCCACAGAGCCAGGAAAUGGUGCGGUGUGAUGCUGCCCAGGUUGCCUGACCAUGCACACAGCUGGUGAGCCCAUCUCCUUGAAUUCAGUGGGCCAGAGCAGAUGGACUCCUGUGUCUUUGCCGCGGGGACCCCGGCUCCUCUGAGGCUGAGGCUGGGCAGUCUUUUGUGACACGUGGCUUGGUAAGAACAUUCUUCAAGAUUAGCCUCUGCAGGAUCCCAUGACUGAAAGAUCCCUGUGUACCUGUGCAGCUAAUUGCAGUACUGGGGCCACCUCUGGGUGCCUGCACCUGUUUGUUCCUGAGCCCCGUGACAGCCUGUCUGUCUCCAAGAGGAGUCUGCAUUUCAUUUUCAUUUCAGCUCCCAGAGUCCCAGAUGGAACAUUCAGAACAGAAGACGUGGCCUUCCUCUGAUUCACAGCCAGUGAAGGGAGAAGGGAGGCAGGAAGGACGUGGAAUUCCGCUCAUGGGGCCCUCUGCACUUCAAAUAUUUUAGAGGAAGAGAACUGCAGAUGUGCCCCCUGCCAAAGAAGCUUUGAGGGCCAGCGUCAAAUGGCCUGGAGUGAGCAAGAGCUGGCAGGGUGACAACCCAGGAAGAAUAAAGGACAGAGCUCCAGGCCCCUUCUCUUUCCGAAACUCCCGCUGAGAGAGCUGGCUCAGUGGGCCUGGGGGGCUCAGGGCAGCUGCAGCGACUGAAUUGGUGCUCUGUCGUCACCUGCUCAGUGCCCUGAAGUGGAGAGCACACAGCCUCCAGCCAGCCCCCCUCCUAAUCGUGGAUUUCCAUACUCGAGAAGCAGCCCCACAAAGGGGUCUCAAGGCGCCAGGACUGGAAAAGCCUUUCAUCUGGCACCUAAUUUGAGCACCUGCCUUCAGACAGGUGCAGAUUAGUGGGGAUUAGUCCACAUUUCACAGGUGAAGCCACUGAGGUCCACAGAAGCCAAGGGACUGGCUCAUUGUUGAGCUCAAGGUCACAUAUUUCAGAAACCACUAACUGGGCAUCACUGAACACCUAACACUGGGUGAGUGCUGCAGUACCAAUCUGCUAGUUACCAACCAUCCUCUAAAAUAGCAUGAUUUUUCUUUCUGAAAAGUAGUCCAUUCUCUACAUUCUCAUUUUGUACCAAGUAAAAGGACCAGAGAAAGAACAAAAAGGAAGGAAAAUAAAAACGAUCUGUUAUCUCCCACCUGGAGAGAAUCCAGAAUCAACACUUUGGUUUAUGAUGCGAUCUUCAUGCAUAUACAUUUUACAUAAUUAUGUUCAUUUUUGUAGCUUACUUUUCUCACUUAGCACUACAAGCCAUUUCUUCUCGUCAUUAAGGGGUGGUUGUAAAUAUGCGUUUGCAUUUAACUACCUACAUUUUUUUGUAUAUCAUGCCACAUUUUUCUUAAGUAUUUCCUCAGCUGAUCAAUUUCAAUUUUAUGCUGUUGUAAGUAACUGGGAUUAACCUUUUGGGAGUGAAACUUCUCAUGUAUUUUUGUAAACUUCCAUAAUACAGAUUUCCUAGAAGUGGAAUUACUGGGGCAACUGAGGUAAAUGUUUCAAAAAGUUUGUGGUAAAUGUUUCCCAAUUGCUCUUUGGAGGAAUGGAAUCCUUUCACAAACAUACCAAGAGUCCUUGCUCUUCUGCUCCCUCUCUGGUUUAGCUGUUAUCUUUAAAGAUUUUUUUUUAAAAAUACCUAAUAAAAUGAUCAAAGUCAU
Molecule: long non-coding RNA, 2016 nt
Filed under: Marmota monax (woodchuck)
Lineage: Eukaryota; Metazoa; Chordata; Mammalia; Rodentia; Sciuridae
Source: RNAcentral